UGGGGAAUAUUGCGCAAUGGGCGAAAGCCUGACGCAGCGACGCCGCGUGAGGGACGAAGGUCUUCGGAUUGUAAACCUCUUUCAGCAGGGACGAAGCGAAAGUGACUGUACCUGCAGAAGAAGCACCGGCUAACUACGUGCCAGCAGCCGCGGUAAUACGUAGGGUGCAAGCGUUGUCCGGAUUUAUUGGGCGUAAAGAGCUCGUAGGCGGUUUGUCGCGUCGGAUGUGAAAACCCAAUGGCUUAACCUUGGGCCUGCAUUCGAUACGGGCAAACUAGAGUGUGGUAGGGGAGACUGGAACUCCUGGUGUAGCGGUGGAAUGCGCAGAUAUCAGGAAGAACACCGAUGGCGAAGGCAGGUCUCUGGGCCAUAACUGACGCUGAGGAGCGAAAGCGUGGGGAGCGAACA
This 408-nucleotide ribosomal RNA is filed under the name uncultured prokaryote. RNAcentral's name for it is "bacterial SSU rRNA". It matches the Rfam family "Bacterial small subunit ribosomal RNA", at positions 355 to 774 of the family's 1533-position model. The record is from RNAcentral.